CCUACGGGUGACAGCAGUGAGGAAUAUUGGUCAAUGGGCGCGAGCCUGAACCAGCCAAGUAGCGUGAAGGAUGACUGCCCUACGGGUUGUAAACUUCUUUUAUAAAGGAAUAAAGUGAGGCACGUGUGCCGUUUUGUAUGUACUUGAUGAAUAAGGAUCGGCUAACUCCGUGCCAGCAGCCGCGGUAAUACGGAGGAUCCGAGCGUUAUCCGGAUUUAUUGGGUUUAAAGGGAGCGUAGACGGGUUGUUAAGUCAGUUGUGAAAGUUUGCGGCUCAACCGUCAAAUUGCCAUUGAUACUGGUAGUCUUGAGUACAGUUGAGGUAGGCGGAAUUCGUGGUGUAGCGGUGAAAUGCUUAGAUAGCACGCAGAACUCCGAUUGCGAAGGCAGCUUACUAAACUUCCACUGACAUUGAUGCUCGAAAGUGUGGGUAUCAAACAGGAUUAGAUACCCCUGUAGUC
This 460-nucleotide ribosomal RNA is filed under the name uncultured bacterium. Its description in RNAcentral is "partial 16S ribosomal RNA". It matches the Rfam family "Bacterial small subunit ribosomal RNA", at positions 338 to 795 of the family's 1533-position model. The record is from RNAcentral.